ACUAGGUCCAGGCCAUCCUAGCAGAAACCUGACAGAGUUCUCCUGAGAAGGCCACGGAGAACGCGCCCAUUUUAAUCAGUGCCACAGGCUCCAUAAGGUGGGGCUGGGGCGAAGAGGGAUGGAGCCGUAACACAGGACCAAACCACAGCUCUCAAGGAGCCCGACGCCUGCACCCUUAUAUACAAGGGAAAGCCCAAGGCUUUGAAGAACCGCUCUCUGCCAGCACCAGAGAAGUCUCACAGAUGUAGGACGAGUCGACUGACUUAGGACAGAAGCUACAUUUUCAGGCCCUUUAACUGCAGGCGGUCAGCCCUUUCCAUGGAGGUUUCAGCAGUGGCAUUGGGAUAGUCCGGAAGCUCGGUGGAUUUGCAAACAGUUGAUUUUGUAGAAAUUCAACGUGAUCAACAGCAGGAUUCUCCCUCCUGCCCUACCCCACCAGGUGCAGAGCACGGUGUUCCUCCAAUGCCUUUGGCCGGUGUCUUCCUCCGUCCUCUUCUUGCGCCUGCUGUUCUGGUUCUGAUUCUGUCGUGAGCUCGUCCUGGUCACUCCUCUCCGAACCCUCCUGGUGUGGACCUGGCUGCAGAACUCUCGGCAGGCGCUUGCUGGUCGGACCAUGUGGCCAAGUUGAGUUGAACAAGGACAGAGUUUGAAGACCAGAACUUGGAGGCAAGCCCUGCUCUUCCAAGGGCAGCUCCAGGACCAGCCGGGGAGUCUGGAAGUUUGUGCUGCAUCUGCACGGACACCUUUAAACAGGAAUACAGUGGCACGGGGAUGCUUCCUCAGCAGACUCCAUCAGCCACAGGAUUGCCCAGGCUUUCCAAUCCACCUUCCUCAGCCUCCCAGAGUGUUGGGAUUCCUUGUCAAUGUGCCUGGCCUCCACAAAACGUGUGUACGAGUGACACUGUCACGGGAGCAGUGCAGACGAGCACACCACGCAGAGGCAUAGAGAGGAGGCCACAGUCUGGUGGGACAGGAAGCCAACCACACAGCCCCAGCCUGGAAAUGAUGCCACCCAAAGUCUGUAGGGAACAGUGAGGAGAGCUGCUCUGACAUGACGCUGUGGCCCUGGGGGAGGCAGCAUCUUAGCUUGGUUUGGAGCGUGGAUCUGAGUCCGGGUAGAGGUUGGGGAAUAUUCCAGAGAGCAAAGAGAAAGCAGCUUGAAUCAAUCGCAGAGGAGGCAGCACAUGGGGGAAGCAGCAAGCUCUUCAGUUUUAGCUUGCAAGUCAUUUUGAGGAAGAGAAAUGUGAAAGAAUAUCUACAUGGAGGCAGGAAAAAAGUUACAGACAAAAGCCGAGUGCUUAUGCACCUGUAACUCCAGCUCUCAGGAGACUGAGGCAGGAGGAUUGCAAGUUCAGGCCAGAGUGGGCUACUCUGAGAUCCUGUUGCAAAACACAAAACAAGACAAAUCAACGUAAACAAAAACCAGAACAAGACAAAAGUUGAAGACAAGAUCACUUUGGAGGCUCAGUUUAAAGUGACUCUUGUUAAGAAAAUAAUGAAAGAAGAUGGUAUAAAGCAUUCUGCCAGGGUAAGGGUUGGGAACGGAAAUAAAGCUCUCACAUGGGCAGCACCUUGUAUUUGAAAUCGGUGUAAGGAUGAAGAAGACAAUGCUGAGCUGGCUCCCUGGCAGUUACUUACUUACUUUGCAGCCCUGGAGAUUGAACCCAGCGUGUUCACACUGAGCUCCAUCCCCAGCCUUUAAACUUUUUUAUUUUGAGGCAGAGUCUUGCUGAGUUGCCCAGGCUGGGCCUGAACGCUCGGUCCUUCUGCCUCGGCCUCCCAGAAUGCUGGGAUGACAAGCGUUCAGCACGUAUUCCACUUAUUUUUCAUUUUUAAAUGAUGC
Molecule: long non-coding RNA, 1843 nt
Filed under: Heterocephalus glaber (naked mole-rat)
Lineage: Eukaryota; Metazoa; Chordata; Mammalia; Rodentia; Bathyergidae
Description: lncRNA (ENSHGLG00100043620.1)
Source: RNAcentral